CAGAUCACGUAGAAUAUUAAUGGUCGAACAGACCAACCUUUAAAGACUUCUGCAUCUUUGGGAUAUUCUGGUCCAACAUCGAGGUCACAAACUUUUUUUUCGAUUAGAGCUCUAAAAAAAAAUAAUGCUGUUAUCCCUACGGUAACUAAUUCUUUUAAUCAGAGAGUUCUGGAUCGUAGCUGAGAGCCUAUUAAAAAAAGGAGGUUUUUAGUGCUCCUUGGUUGCCCCAACCAAUAUUUUUAGUAUUUUAAUUUCAGUUUAGUUACAAAGGUAUACUAAUUUUUUUCAAGCUCGAUAGGGUCUUCUUGUCUUUUAACAAAAUAUAGGCUUUUUCACCUAUAGAUAAAAUUCUAAGAAAUUUCAACUGAGACAGAUUUAUCCAUGUCAAACCAUUCAUUCCAGCCCUCAAUUAUAGGGCAAAUUAUUAUGCUACCUUUGCACAGUCAGGGUACUGCGGCCGUUUAAAGUUCACCGGGCAGGUACGAUUUCUUAUAAGUGAUGAACAAGAAACGAUGUUUUU
RNAcentral lists this ribosomal RNA (520 nucleotides) under Hemilienardia sp. MNHN-IM-2009-19139. RNAcentral describes it as "partial 16S ribosomal RNA". Lineage: Eukaryota; Metazoa; Mollusca; Gastropoda; Neogastropoda; Raphitomidae. The record is from RNAcentral.